ACUCCUACGGGAGGCAGCAGUGGGGAAUAUUGCACAAUGGGCGCAAGCCUGAUGCAGCUAUGCCGCGUGUGUGAAGAAGGCCUUAGGGUUGUAAAGCACUUUCAGUAGUGAGGAAAGGUGUAUAGUUAAUAGCAUUACACUGUGACGUUAGCUACAGAAGAAGCACCGGCAAACUCCGUGCCAGCAGCCGCGGUAAUACGGAGGGUGCGAGCGUUAAUCGGAAUUACUGGGCGUAAAGCGCGCGUAGGCGGUUAUUAAGUGAGGUGUGAAAUCCCUGGGCUCAACCUAGGAACUGCAUUUACAAACUGGAUAACUUGAGUAUGUCAGAGGGUUAUUGGAAUUUCCCCGUGUAGCAGUGAAAUGCGUAGAUAUGGGAAGGAACAUCAGUGGCGAAGGCGAAUACCGUGGGAUAAUACUGACGCUGAGGUGCGAAAGCGUGGGAGCAAACGGGAUUAGAUACCCCGUGGUAGCGACUGA
This 477-nucleotide ribosomal RNA is filed under the name uncultured bacterium. Its description in RNAcentral is "bacterial SSU rRNA". It matches the Rfam family "Bacterial small subunit ribosomal RNA", at positions 335 to 803 of the family's 1533-position model. The record is from RNAcentral.